CUCUCUCCUUCGCUCUCCCUCCUUGGCAUUUACUCUCUAACGCCAUAUUCCUUAUAUAUUUCUUUUUGUUUGUUCUCCCCCUCAUUCACGAUUUUACGUUUGUUCUCUUUUCUGUGCAUGUGUGUCUUUGGUUUGUCUUACUUCUUAUCACACACACACACACACACCGAUCUAAGCACCUGCGGCUGCCCCCCUCCCCUCCCUACGUCGAUUGUGCCAUUUCACAUUUCUUCUAGGCAGAGCCGCUGACUCUUCCUCUGCGCCAAUAAAAGUGCCACCCGCUUGCGUGUGUACUUGAAAAAUGAGCCACUCUUUUUGCCGCGUCGGCAUUGCCAUCUACUGCAUUCUACAGCUCAUCGCCUUCAUAUUCAUCCUUGCUGGAACCCUGAUUGACCAAUUCCGCGUACAGAACGUGGAUGUACUCAGCAACAGCCCGUGCCUGACGAUAUGGGGCUUCAAGGACAAGUGCAUCUCGCUCAAGUGGAGUGUCCUGACCAAGGACUUAUGGAAGGGCUGCCCUCAGCGCCUGAAGCGCUUCAACGCGGCUGAGGCUCUGAGCAUUGCUGCCGUCCUCAUCAGUGCUCUGGCGUGCCUCAUCGGAUUUGUCAUGCUGUGCUGCUGCCGCUGCUUGCGCUGGCUUUGCCUAAUUCUGAACAUUCUGGCCACCCUCUGUGGCUGUGCCGUCACCGCACUCAUGAUCGACGCCUUCUACAACAACCAUGAGGAAGGCCUUCAGCAUUACAACAACUCCUGCUACGCGCUCCGCCAGAACGGCUCCGUCAUUCGUCCUUCGGCCAUCGUAGAUGGCAAUCCAGUGGCCACUCAUUACAAUUACGGUGCCGGCUUUGCCAUUUACAUUGUUGGCUGGGGCCUCUGCUUCAUCAACAUCUUUUUUCUCAUGCUGCCGUGCUAAAGGGACGUGCCUCUCAGCUUUUCCCCUCCGGUUACUCCCUCCCGUCGGCCAAAUGAGGUAUGAUUGUGCCCUUGCGCCACGAUGAUUUCGCACACAGCUGCUGUCUUGUCCCGUGCGCGAGUGCGCCGCCUUCCAGGCACGCGAAUAGGGCAAAAACAGAGGUUUCUAAGAUCAAACAAAAAAGCGUCUGAGGAGGCCAGCGCGAUAGAGGAGAUAGCACAGAGACAUCAGAGCGCGCCGGGCCUGUAUGUGUGUACGUCUAUGCUUGUGCGUUAUCACUGAAAACUUGCACGCGCAAACACACUCAUGUACGGCGCAUUCGCAUGGAAUCAAGUAUAUACAUAUAUAUGCUCAUCUUUCGCUGUUGCAUUCUUGUUAACUCCUCGCCUGUUUUCCCGAUUCCCUGAUUUUGCGCGCUCGAAUCCCAGUGAUGGUGCUCGAGGCCUUUUCUUCCGUGAGAAACGUCUCUUCCUCACCUUCUUACUCGUUUUUUUUUGCGCUCGUAGCAGUGGUCUGGCCGUAUUUUUUCUUCGCGCCUGCAUUGUCCAUUUCUUUGCGUAUGCGGGGGCCGGCUCCUUUCAUGUCUCAUUUUUUUUUUAUGUCCCUCGUCGUUGUGUAUAGCAGGUAGGCAGCAAUGCUCGAUUGAUGGAGACGAGGCGGUGGAGAGAACAUGUGUGCAAAGCAUGUCGCAGGCGGCGCGCGCCAGUGGCGUUCCAGCAUCGAGCGGGACGCGGGAGCAAGAAAACGGACCGCCGGCCAUAUAGAAAAACUGCGAAAAGUGGGACGAGGUCAAUGAAGGAUGAGGAGCGAGGCAAGCAAGGAAGGAAGAGGACAGGCCGCUGAGGAUAAUCUUGGACGCUGAUGUAACAAGAGAGCAACGAAACCAAGCUGCUUCUGCAAUGCAAAACUGCCUUCAUCCUCUCUCUCUCGCCACACAUGCGGGCGCGAUCAGAUAGGAAUUCUGCGCGUUUCUCUAGUUUACGGCCUCUUUGCCUUCUCAUCUUUCACGCCGCUUUCCUUACAGUCCUUCAACUUUUACUCCCCCCCCUGGACGGUCCUCCUCCCGUUUCCAGCACGCGAGUCCGUCAUGCAUGUCUGCAUCAUGCCUCUCUCCUCACGCAUGUGAUCAUCUCCAUACAAGAACCUUCGAAUGCGUCUGCCUCUCCCUUUCGCGUUUUUAUUUUCUUUUCUCUGUCUGUUGUGUCCCGCUGCCUUUCUUGAUCUCAGGAUGUGCUUUUAGAAAACUCGCACACGCACCUGUGCCACGUCACGUGGUAACGCCACGGCGCACGUCCUUCUGUUUUCCGCAUGCCCCUUUGCCACCGAUAUAUAUAUAUAUAUAUAUGUAUGGCGGCGCUCUCUCUUCGUUUUCAUUGUCUUGACAUUCGCGCUGGCGACGACGCUCUUACGUGAGGCCACUCCCCCUCCCUCCCCACUCUUUUUUUUUGCGGUCGCCACAGCUUUUCGUUCUUUGUUUAUAUAUAUUUUCUCUCGGUAAACAUUUGCUUUUUGUUUCUGCCGACGUCCUUUUCUGGUUUUGGUUGUUUAGCUCGUUGAUGGGCUCUCUCUUUGCGCGUGCUUGCAUGUGUGUCUGUGUGCGGCCCAUGCCAUCUCGCCUCUUCUUUUCGUUCCGCAGCUCUCCUGCGUCGGCAUCCUGUAUUCUUCCCGAAGACAAGUCAUCCUCUUCCUCUGGCUCUUCCCCCUUUUUUUCGCUGUUGCCUUUUUGGUGAUGAUCACGCUUCCACGGCUGCUGCCUGUUUCUGCACCAGCUUGUCGUCUAUGCUCCCCACACGGCUAUAUUGCGUGCGUGUGCUCAAGUCGCCUGCCGUUUCCAUCUCGUCUGUGUGACUUUGUACCGCGCAGCAACCCCCCGCCAACGGUGCCGUGAGCCUUCACGCUCUUCGCCUUGCCUCCGCCUGUUCCCUGUCUGUCACUCCGUCUUUUUACCGUUCUACAGCGUGUCGCGAGUCUUUUUGUUUCCAUGUCUGUUGUUGAUGAUGUUAUCGGACCUCAUCAUGUUGCCACACUCGCAUGCACAUUAUCUGUCCACGCACGCGUGUGCACCUGCUACUUGCUGCUUGUGCGCGCGUGUGCGUCUGUGUGUGUACACCGCCAAAAAAACGAGCAACGGGGGGGGAAGCCGCUGUAGCGUGGGCAAAGGGGUGGAGGGGGAGGGGGCGAUAAGUGGAAGGUGUGGCGGGUCGCUGCUUUGUGAUAAAACGGAGACAAAGCCGAAAACACGUCCAGCGGGGCGCAGGCACCCACGCAGACAAAAGGAAAAGACACCUCAGAUGAUGGGGUCGCCUUUAGUGUGCAGCAGAUCUCCACCAGCGAGGCUGUGCGCGUUUCGUUUCUUCUUUUUUUUUGGUUUUACAUGUCUUUUCUGCCCUCUCGUCGAUUUUCUUUCGUUUUAUGGUAUUUGCGUGUAUUGCUUCUCUCUCGUUUCGUUGCGUGGACGCUCUCCGGUCUCCCACGUCCUUCUUUUUUUCCACACUGCCUUUGUUUUUAAAUUUUUAUCUUUGUUGCUCGCUUCUUCUCCAGCUUUCACAACUGACCGAAACCACACCACACCCCGAUGAUACCCGUGUAUACCCAGUUCCACCUGUGGCCCCUCGACUUUUUGCGCACCUCACCGCCCUCCGUGACCAUAUCUGUAUUCCCCUUCUUCUGCGUGUUGCUCGACAGACGAUGUGCGUGAGCGGGACUCGACGCGUGUGCGCACCUCUCUCUCUGUCUGUCUUUAGGUGUGUGUGUGC
RNAcentral lists this unclassified non-coding RNA (3669 nucleotides) under Leishmania donovani. RNAcentral describes it as "gene:LdHU3.34.1700(CDS-product:amastin-like_prote in)". Lineage: Eukaryota; Euglenozoa; Kinetoplastea; Trypanosomatida; Trypanosomatidae. The record is from RNAcentral.